UCCGGGUGGACAGGGAGGACAGGUGGUGCGAUGGUUGUCGUCAGCUCGUGUCGUGAGAUGUUGGUUAAGUCCCGCAACGAGCGCAACCCCUACGUUUAGUUGCUAACGCGUGAAGGCGAGCACUCUAGACGAACUGCCGUUGACAAAACGGAGGAAGGUGGGGAUGACGUCAAAUCAUCAUGCCCCUUAUGUUCUGGGCUACACACGUGCUACAAUGGCCGGUACAGACGGACGCAAAGCCGCGAGGUGGAGCAAAUCCUAAAAAGCCGGUCUCAGUUCGGAUUGCAGGCUGCAAUUCGCCUGCAUGAAGUCGGAAUCGCUAGUAAUCGCAGGUCAGCAUACUGCGGUGAAUACGUUCCCGGGCCUU
RNAcentral lists this ribosomal RNA (367 nucleotides) under uncultured Pelotomaculum sp. RNAcentral's name for it is "bacterial SSU rRNA". It matches the Rfam family "Bacterial small subunit ribosomal RNA", at positions 1016 to 1382 of the family's 1533-position model. The record is from RNAcentral. Lineage: Bacteria; Bacillati; Bacillota; Clostridia; Eubacteriales; Desulfotomaculaceae.